GCUACGGGGAGACGUACGUGGGAGAGGCGUUUCAGGUAACAGUGCUCGCCGAACUUCAAGCCGCCUCGGGGGACCGCAGCCCAACCGACACCGCGUGGGGCCAGAGAACCGCUCCGCAGAGCCCGGGCGGCUCACAGACCUUUGAGAGACAAAUGGGCGUGGCAGUGUUAAGCCACUAAAUUUUGGCGUGGCGUGUGACACCGCAGCAGGGAACCGAAACCUAAAGACUCAAUUCUGGGGGCGACAAGAAUCUUCCGAGGGCCUUGCCAGGACCUGCUGUGGCCCUGGUCCGAUGGAGCAGUGGUUCUCAAAUGUCAUCUCUGAACCAGCUACAUUGGAGUACCUGUGGAUUUCUUUUAAACUACAGAUUGAUG
Long non-coding RNA from Neofelis nebulosa (Clouded leopard), 374 nucleotides. RefSeq lists it as uncharacterized. The record is from RefSeq and is a predicted model, not a curated record. Lineage: Eukaryota; Metazoa; Chordata; Mammalia; Carnivora; Felidae. The transcript is spliced from 3 exons.